This is an RNA transcript of Phoenix dactylifera (date palm), 2130 nucleotides long. RefSeq lists it as uncharacterized. The record is from RefSeq and is a predicted model, not a curated record. NCBI's taxonomy places the organism in Eukaryota, Viridiplantae, Streptophyta, Magnoliopsida, Arecales, Arecaceae.
GUACGGAGGGCAGCACCCCAGCCCUGGAGAUGGAGGGAGGCUGGGAUUUCCAGCGAGGCCGCAAGAUAUAUAAGAGAACGAGGGAGGGGGGAGAGAGAGUGGAGAGAGAGAUGGGUUGCCACGCCGUCUUCCACGCGGCGACCCCGCAGCCUCUCGUCGCCCUCCACCGCCGCUCUCGCCUCCCCCCCAAUGACCUCUCCCUCUCCCAAAAUCCUAAUCCCCAUCGCCGCUGCCACUGCCCCCUCCUCCCGCCGGCGGGCUUCGCCGGCCCGCGGAAGCACCGCCUUGCUGUCAGGGCCGCCGCCGCCCCCGCCCCCGCCCCCGAGGCCAUGCCGGGAGCCGUGGAGCCCGGCCAGUGGGACGCCCUCGAGCGCUGCUUCGCCGCCUCCCCGGUCUCCGAUCCGCCCUCCUGCUCCUCCUCGCCGUCGUCUUUGUUGGCGUCCGCCGCGAUGGCGCCGGUGAUGAAGGGACAGUACGGGGCGUUUGGGGGGGUGACGCUGGAGAAAUCCAAGCUCGAUCUUUCCCAGAAGACUACGAAGUCGAGCGCUGAGACAGCAACUGGUGGAGGAGGUGGAGAUAUUGGAAAGAAAAAUUUCCAUGGUGGGGGUGACGGUGGCGAUGAUGGCGGCGACGAUGAUGAUUACUUUGAUGACUUUGACGAAGAUGAUGAAGGAGAUGAAGGUGGAUUAUUUAGAAGGCGCCUUGUCCUUCAAGAGCUCUUUGAUAGGAAGUUUGUGGAUGCGGUGCUUCAAGAGUGGUACAAAACCAUGAUAAAUUUGCCUGCUGGACUGCGUCAAGCUUAUGAAAUGGGUUUGGUGAGCUCUGCACAAAUGGUACGCUUCUUGUCAAUUAAUGCAAGGCCAACAACAUCUAGGUUCAUUUCUCGGGCUCUUCCACAAUCCCUAUCUAGGGCUUUCAUUGGAAGGGAUUCGCAUAUAGGAUUGAGGACUCUGAGGCAAGGACACUACCAAGAGAUAUGGUGGCGACAAAUCUAUACAGAUCCCUCUUUCUUAUGUAAAUUAAUCCUCGAACAGGCAGCUACUAUUGGUUGUGCUGUUUGGUGGGAGUUGAAGAAUCGCAAAGAAAGGAUUAAACAAGAAUGGGAUUUGGCACUCAUAAAUGUUCUGACAGCAUCGGCUUGCAAUGCAUUUAUUGUCUGGUCGCUUGCACCAUGUCGUUCCUAUGGGAAUACAUUCCAUUUUGACUUGCAAAAUACAAUCCAGAAACUUCCGAAUAAUAUAUUUGAAAAAUCUUAUCCUCUGAGAGAGUUUGACUUACAGAAAAGAAUUCAAUCUUUCUUCCUUUACAAGGUUCCAGAGUUAUGUCUCGUUGGUGUAAUUGCUGGAUCUCUUCAAGGUAUCUUGUCAAAAGUUUCCUCUUCGAAAAAGGAGGGGAGUGACCAUACCAUCUGUCACUACCAAUGCUCUUGGCUAUGGUUCUUUCUUGGGGCUUUAUGCAAACCUGCGGUAUCAGCUGUUAUGCGGAAUUGAUAGAUUUAUGUUCAAUCACUUUGAUGUUCUAGGAGUGCCGAUCUUUUUCAGCACAGCACUGAGAAUAUUGAAUAUUCAGAUUGGGGAGAUAUCCAGACCUGCUUGGCUCGGGGUGGAAGCUGAUCCACUGCUGCAGUCAGACAAUCUGUUGAAAGCAUAUAACAGACCCUCAGAGGCCACUGAUAGUCCGAGUGCAAAGUGGUUCAUAUCCAAGAACACCAUUAUUUCUGGCCUUGGAUUACUUGGUAUUAAGCAAGGCAGCGAGAAACCGGAGGCUAAACCUUCAAAGGCACACCGAAAGAGAAUUGUUAGGAAAAAAGCAAGCACAACUUCGGCAUAACCGUGGUUCUCAUCACUUUGGAAACAAUUUUGCAUGUGAGGUCAAUUCUGGAUGCUGAUUACUGCCAUGCAAGUGAACAGGGAAGAUUCUUGUUGCCAACUUUGGCAGUGUUAUCAAGAUGCGAUCUUGGAAUUGCAAGGCGUCUGAUGAAGAGUUUUAAAGAUUUAGAUUUCUUUAAUUUUGAGCACUAAGAUUUAUUAUUAUUAUUAUUUUUUUUUUUUUUUUUGCUUCCAGAUUUUGGUCUCUUGUAUACAUAUAAUUUGUUAGAGAAAUUAAUAAGAUUGAAAUUUGUUCUGUUCA